This 306-nucleotide long non-coding RNA is filed under the name Manihot esculenta (cassava). RNAcentral describes it as "long non-coding RNA (MESC_LNC007040)". Lineage: Eukaryota; Viridiplantae; Streptophyta; Magnoliopsida; Malpighiales; Euphorbiaceae. The record is from RNAcentral.
UUUAGGAUUAUCCAUAUUUGGAUCUUACUCCUUAGCACCACAAACAAAGCAAACUCAGGAUGAUUAUGAAAACUUGAGAUAUUAUAUUGAGCACAUUGAGACUGUAAAGAAUACCUUACAAAUAGAACUCGUUGUAAACCUUCUUUCUCAACAGGGUGCAUCACAUCAAGAUCAGUUAGGUCUUCGUGCAACAGAUAUUUCACAGCCUCUGCACAGUAUAGUAGCUCCUCCAUCGGAUUCUUCCUAACGUGCCACAGAUGAAGAUGGAUUAGACGAGAAUAUCGAAGAUCUCCAUUGAUUACUUAG